GUGAGGAAUUUUGCGCAAUGGGGGCAACCCUGACGCAGCGACGCCGCGUGGAGGACGAAGUCUUUCGGGAUGUAAACUCCUGUCAGUGGGGACGAUAAUGACGGUACCCACAGAGGAAGCACCGGCUAACUCCGUUCCAGCAGCCGCGGUAAGACGGAGGGUGCAAGCGUUGUUCGGAAUUACUGGGCGUAAAGCGUAUGUAGGCGGCAAGUUAAGUUCAAUGUUAAAGCCCACGGCUCAACCGAGGAGAUGCAUGGAAGACUGGCUAGGUAGAGGGUGUUAGAGGUAGACGGAAUUGCCGGGGUAGCGGUGAAAUGCGUAGAUAUUGGGAGGAGCAUCGGUAGCGAAAGCGGUCUUCUGGGACAUACCUGACGCUGAGGUACGAAAGCGUGGGGAGCAAACGGGAUUAGAUACCCUAGUAGUCC
Molecule: ribosomal RNA, 425 nt
Filed under: uncultured bacterium
Lineage: Bacteria
Description: partial 16S ribosomal RNA
Rfam family: Bacterial small subunit ribosomal RNA
Source: RNAcentral